Molecule: non-coding RNA, 2646 nt
Organism: Cricetulus griseus (Chinese hamster)
Lineage: Eukaryota; Metazoa; Chordata; Mammalia; Rodentia; Cricetidae
Source: RefSeq, a predicted model, not a curated record
GUAUGGUAGGGUGCACAGUACAAUACCAGACAAUACCACACAGUGUGGUGAUUUAGGGGCAAGAUAAGGCAGUGGAAGAAAAGAGCCCCCGGAAUGAGAUGUGUAUGAGUGCUCCAUCUGCAUGGAUCCCUGCAUGCUAGAUGAGGGCAGCUGAGCCCAUUACAGGUGACUGUGAGCUAUUAUGUGGUUUGCUGGGAAUUGAACUCAGGACCUCUGGAAGAGUAGCCAGUGCUCUUAACCACUGAGCAGCUCUGCAGCCCCCAAGAUGAGAUAUUGAAGACUGUAUUUGUGUGUCACAGAAGAAUAAGAAGAUAGAGACACAUAAAGGACAAAGCUAGUGACUCUUAAGACACCAGCAUUCAUGAGGGUGUUGCUGUGGUCAUGGUGUCUCUUUACAGCAAUAAAACUCUAAGACAGAUGGGAAGGAAGCCAUGCCCUGCUUCCCUGAACCCAUGAGCAGGAGCCACCUGUCUCACUGCAGAAAGCCCAGCAUCUAAGGCCUUGGACAAAGCACAGCAGAGAACCAUGGUGCUCCUGUUGAGGCAACAAAUGACCUACCAGCACUUGGAGAAUCAACUAGAGGAAGACAGCUGACUCUGAGACAGCUUCCUUGCAGAGCCCUUCCCAGCACUUCAUCUAUGUGUUUUUUCUGUUGCUAAUUUUUCAGUGAAGUUGGAAUUUUACUCCCCUUCCCCCAUUCAGCUGUUUCUCCUAGAUGAGCUUGAGAUCAGCAUUCCAGCCUGCUUCUUACCUACACAUACACCUGGCCUUCCCUACUGUGAGGGAUGCUUUCCAGAGGCAGGAAGAGUGUUCCUCUCAGCCCCUGACUCCAAGAACAUGAUGCAAGGCCACUUGUCCCUACAGAUGGCUUUUUAAAUCAGCCUUUCCUAAACAACAACAACAACAACAACAAAAUGGAGCUCUAAGAAGAUAAAUUGGCAGUGGUAUCACUUGUGAUGUUGCUUGUUGACUGGGUUAUUUCAAACCAACCCCCCAUCCAGCCCUAUAGAUUCUCCCUGCUUCAAGACAAGGCUGAAUUCACCCCAGUGUGGUGCAGCAUCCCCAAGAAGGCCCAGAUGCCAUCCUGUAUCAGCUCCAAUGCUAGUCACAACUCACAGUAAAGGGUCCUCCUUGGGUGUCCUGUAAUUGCAGCUUUGGAACUGGAACAUUACCUGUGAUGACGGUGUUCCCAUGGAAGGGAGGCUGCCACAGCCCAAAAUUGUGCCCAAAUGUAGGAGGCAGUUGGCACUUUCAUGUGCUUAAAGAAUUUCUGUCCUGCUUUCAGAAGUGGCUUUCAAAUAGGUGUUUGGGGGUAGAUUGUUUCAAAGUAUAUACAGUAUAUAUCGUAUUUUACCCCUUUUUAAUUGCACAACUCAGUAACAUUAAGUCCAUUGACAUUGUUGUGUAACGAUCAUCUAUCUCUAGAGUUUCAUCAUGCUAGACUGAAACUCUACACUGAUAGACAUGAAUUCCCUAUGUAACACCCUCUACAACUACCCCUAGGUAACUACCAUCUAUUUUUCUGUCUCUAUGAGUUUUAUUGCUAGGUGAACCUCACAUAAAUAAUAUCAACCUUUGGGGUUUUCCUCAAUGAGUGUAACUAUUUUAAAACCCUUUCACACUGUAGCAUGGGUCAGAAUAAUUACUUCUAAUGAAUGAAUACUAGCCCAUGGUUUAGAUAGACCACAUGUUCUUAACCUAUUUGUCUAUCCAUGGACACUCAGAUGGCAUCUCCAUGGAGGCUGUGAAUUCGGCAGCACAUCCUUCAGUGCUCACUUUCCAAUUCUCUGGGUGUGCGUCUAGAAUUGGGCACUACUCGCUCAUUUGGUAAGUCCAUGGUUAGAGGACUGGCCGUAUGGUUUCCCAUAGCAACUGCUCUACUUUACAUCCCCACCAGCAGGAAACAAGGGUCCCAAUUUCUCUACAUCUUCAUCAUCUUUUGCUAUUUUAAAGAGUCAUUCCAGUGGGCACGGCCUGGGCUUGCAUCUCCUUAAUGUGUAACAUUAGCCGAGCAUCUCUUCGGGUGUUUAGUGGACACUUGUGUGUCUGCUCUGGAGAAUGGCCUGUCCAAGUCCUCCACUUGUUUUUAAGUAGAGCUUUGAUAUUGUGUUAUGAUGAUUGUCAAAUCUCCUUUUUCACCUAGAUUGAGGCAUCCUUAGGAGACAGCAAUGGGCAGCCAGUGCUGGGCUCUUGCUGGGCGGCACCGCAUGCCUGUGGAGCAUCACUGAAUACAACAGCCUCUUUCCCCAAGAAAGCAGUGAGCCACUGAGGCAGCAAUCACAAAGCAGCGUCCCAAACACACUUGGCUCUGCAAGGCAAGAAAGGCCUUGGCCUGGACAGCUCUGGGGACCAAGUGACAGCAGCAGCCCCCUGAAGCUGCACACUGGCCUCACCUAGAGUCCCCCUCCGUGGGAUUCUAAACCCCGAGGCCAGGGUGUUUUCAGCUUUUCACUGUAACACAGUCUCAUCCAGAGAGUGGCUUUUUCCAGGUCAACUCCCCUCCCCAUGCCCCACCCCCAUCGGGGCCAGUGUUACUGAACACCUUUAGGGAAGGAGGCACGGCUUGCAGAUUAGUAUUUUUCAAACGUGCCAAAAUAACCAAAUAAUUUCCAAGUGUAGUCCAGUCGAGGACCCUUGAUGAUUAAA